CAUCCAAAUUAAAUAAUUUUGUGUUUUUAAGCGGAAACCAUGCAUUUUCUGACGGUUAGUUUAAAAUUCAUCUUGCGUAUGAAUAAAAAGAUUUUAUAAUAUUUAGAGUACAAAUAUAUGCCGUGACAUGCCAGCUAGGAACAUAUACGCUGGGAUGAUCGCAAGUGACCGUAAGCUCGAGCUUUUUCAAGCUAAACGAAUGCAACACGCGAGCGCCAUUUCGCCGCUGACGCAAGAUGAAUUUUGUAAACUAAUUGACAGUCUUUGAAUCACAAUUGUUUCCGUGUGGGGAACCGAAACGUCAGACAAAAUAAUCCUAUUAAUUAAAUUAAUGUAUAAAACAAUCUGGAUGAAAUAAAAACAAUUUAAAAAAUACUUUCAAUUAACUUUUCCAGCAAUUAAAACUCCAAGUUAUAACAAAAAUUUUCAGCUUUUGUGAAACAUUUUUUCUUGUUUUGGCGUAUAUCGUAACAUUCUGCGAAACACGUGAUAUGAUCAGUACAGUAUUGGAAAUGAAGAUGCUCUGAGAAUGACGUACACGUCACACUGUUCGUUUAAUCAGAAACGCACUGACCGGUUUGUAACCGGUGGAUAAUUCGUCGUCAGUUUUCAAGUAUACAUGCUUAAAUCGAGGCAAGACGACCAUUUGUUUACAAUGUAAUACGAUGAAAUUACAGAAGAUCAAUUCCGGAUUUUGAUCGUAAAAUCCAUCAAACGGAAGAUUGGAAAAGAACUGCAUGCAGUUGGCGGUUACGUGGUAAAGAUAACUAUAAGAUUCCGACAUAUAAACUAUGCAAGAGCCUCAAUAUACCAACAGUGAUGUGGAUAUUGGUUUUUGAAGAACAUUCAGGCAUGUUCAAUGCAUUACAGAUUAUGCCGUAUCACUGAACAUCGGAAAGAAUGUAACAGAUAUACAUGGUCAAUGGGGACUGAUGAAGUAGAUCAACAGGAAAUAUGGUACAGAGUAUAAGUACUGUAAGUGAAUAAACUCCAUAUUUGGACAAUUACUAAUCAUAAUUCAUGUCAAACAAUACUCGCAUCGAGAUGAAAAAAUCUGGACAAAAAACGCUAUAUACAACGAACAUUAUAAAGCAUACCAACAAAUAAAAAAGGAAAAUUCUCAUAAAUACAGAACUAAGAUGGUGAAUAUCAGUUUUGAUGCUUAAAGGUUGCAACAUUGGCAAUGCAUGUCAAUAUUAAUACUGGUAUGUGAGAAAACACAGAUUCCUCGCCAUGGUAUGCUGCUAUUAAUGCAAUAACAACGAACUUGUCGAGUGGCGCGUAUAUCUUUCGUUUGUUCUUUUGAAAGUAAAACACUGAAAAAAAAAAGAAUGGAAAUUGGCAAAUAUACUGAUCACGAAAUCAACUGUUGUACAGUGUUAUGGUAUAUUUUUAAAACCGACAAUGCAUGUUGUCAAUGAAAUUUGGCCUUCCUUCAAUUUUUGUGUUUUUCACUGCUUGGCAGUUUCUGCUGGGAAGGUCUAAUAAUGUAGGUUUUGUUUAGAAAUCGGAUACGAUUUCUUACAAAUUCAGUUUUGAAUAAAUUAGCCUUUCUCACGAUGACGAAUAUCCGCCAUUUUUGGGUGGCAUCUAAGUAAUUCUCGUUAACCAAUGCAGACAAUUAAAACAGUGUGAAAAGCAAUUUUUCAAAAUAAACUAACCAUUUACAAAGCAAAUUUCCCAUCAUUCGUCCAAAAAAUUAUAAAAAGUCGCUGUUAUGUGGACUUAUCUCGCAGACUUCGGCUGAAAUGCCACCCAAAAAUGGCGGCGUGAGAAAGGCUAAUUGAUGCCCAAAUCUCCGCGGCUGCGCAAGUUAAAACAAUUUUACACUAGGAAUGUGAUGGUAAAUGUCAAUAAGAUGAAAUGACAGUUUUAUUAUUUAUCCGUGGUUACGCAUCAAAAUCGCUGCAAAGUAAAGUAUAUAUUGAAAGACAAAAAAUUAUAAAAAAAUGCAGUAAAAGUUC
Paramuricea clavata is the source of this 1964-nucleotide non-coding RNA. Lineage: Eukaryota; Metazoa; Cnidaria; Anthozoa; Malacalcyonacea; Plexauridae. The record is from the annotation of a GenBank genome assembly.